AAUAUUGUACGUAAAAUAACCCGUAUAAUCCCGGUAAUAUGGUCUGGGAGUCUCUACAGAGUGGCCUUAAAUCACUCUACUAUGGACGGAAAAUUUCUUUUU
RNAcentral lists this non-coding RNA (102 nucleotides) under Niallia circulans. RNAcentral describes it as "Bacillus circulans Guanine sequence". It matches the Rfam family "Purine riboswitch aptamer". Rfam says of the family: Riboswitches are metabolite binding domains within certain messenger RNAs that serve as precision sensors for their corresponding targets. Allosteric rearrangement of mRNA structure is mediated by ligand binding, and this results in modulation of gene expression. Lineage: Bacteria; Bacillati; Bacillota; Bacilli; Caryophanales; Bacillaceae. The record is from Rfam by way of RNAcentral.